RNAcentral lists this transfer RNA (57 nucleotides) under Ictidomys tridecemlineatus (thirteen-lined ground squirrel). RNAcentral's name for it is "Spermophilus tridecemlineatus (thirteen-lined ground squirrel) tRNA". It matches the Rfam family "tRNA", at positions 8 to 63 of the family's 71-position model. From Rfam's summary of the family: Transfer RNA (tRNA) molecules are approximately 80 nucleotides in length. The record is from Rfam by way of RNAcentral. RNAcentral also lists the same sequence under 1 other name. Lineage: Eukaryota; Metazoa; Chordata; Mammalia; Rodentia; Sciuridae.
UGGCUCAGUGUCAGAGUUCUUGCCUAACAUGCAGGAGGCCCUGGGUUCAACCCCCAG